This 253-nucleotide ribosomal RNA is filed under the name uncultured bacterium. Its description in RNAcentral is "partial 16S ribosomal RNA". It matches the Rfam family "Bacterial small subunit ribosomal RNA", at positions 524 to 776 of the family's 1533-position model. The record is from RNAcentral.
UACGUAGGGUGCAAGCGUUGUCCGGAAUUAUUGGGCGUAAAGAGCUCGUAGGCGGUUUGUCGCGUCUGCUGUGAAAUCCCGAGGCUCAACCUCGGGCCUGCAGUGGGUACGGGCAGACUAGAGUGCGGUAGGGGAGAUUGGAAUUCCUGGUGUAGCGGUGGAAUGCGCAGAUAUCAGGAGGAACACCGGUGGCGAAGGCAGAUCUCUGGGCCGAUACUGACGCUGAGGCGCGAAAGCGUGGGGAGCGAACAGG